AUGGACGAAGUCGCUUAAACGUCAAAAUCGGCCCUUUUCGCUAACAUUUUAUGGUACAAGUGGGGCAUUUUACCAAUUUAUACCUAUGAAGAUGGAAAACUUAAUGUUUUCCCUGCCUGUAACGUGCAUUUUCUAAGACAUCCGCACUAUUUUCAAGCACUUUUAGGACAAAAUUCCACUAUAGAUUCUUGCACCUCGCAUGACUAAAAUAUUAGUACACACACCAUUCAAAGGCCACCUCGGAAGUGGAACAAAGAGUAAAUAAUCGCGUUAGAGGCCUCCUAUAUGAACUUAUCCUUGUAUAGAAGGUCAAUUAUGGUGUUUGUUAUGUAUUUUAAUUUUUUUUUUUUUUAUAAAUUUGUAAAAGUUGGCAACAGGGCGUCGUCACAAAUAACGUUUUUCUCCUUUUUCUUCGCCUCCGGUUCGAAAUAGUGCGAGUCCGUGACAACGUGUAACGCUAAAUGGCAACGGGUUUAGUUUAGACAGCUGAUUCACUCUUCUUCUCGAAGAAUUUCGACUCGAGAAAUACAGAUGCCGCUUAAGUAAAGAGAAAAUAGUGUUAUCACCACUGGACGACAAGAACCAGGCAAAAUCUUUAAAACCAUUAGGAACCCAUAAAUAAGAUGACUAUUUCUUUGGGUAUCGGGUUACACAAAUGGAACUAGGGCAACUUGAACCCAAAUGAGGGACACUUCGGUUUUGGCCUGAAAAGCGUGCACUUGUCGGAUACAGAACCCUAUUUUAGUUCAAUUUAGCCGUUUGCGUUUAUAUUAAUAUUUUUAUUCUCUUCUGUCUUAAUCUGAUUUCAUUGUAAUAAAAUCCGUGUGUUAUUUAGAAA
Long non-coding RNA from Anthonomus grandis grandis, 838 nucleotides. RefSeq lists it as uncharacterized. The record is from RefSeq and is a predicted model, not a curated record. Lineage: Eukaryota; Metazoa; Arthropoda; Insecta; Coleoptera; Curculionidae. The transcript is spliced from 2 exons.